UGCCCUCUCUCCCAUAUCCCCAG
RNAcentral lists this unclassified non-coding RNA (23 nucleotides) under Mus musculus (house mouse). RNAcentral describes it as "oocyte_clustered_small_RNA8311". The record is from RNAcentral. Lineage: Eukaryota; Metazoa; Chordata; Mammalia; Rodentia; Muridae.